RNAcentral lists this ribosomal RNA (458 nucleotides) under uncultured bacterium. RNAcentral describes it as "partial 16S ribosomal RNA". It matches the Rfam family "Bacterial small subunit ribosomal RNA", at positions 28 to 507 of the family's 1533-position model. The record is from RNAcentral.
GAUAAACGCUGGCGGCGUGCGUGAGACAUGCAAGUCGAACGAAGGAUCGGGCUUGCUCGAUCCUUAGUGGCGGACGGCUGAGUAACGCGUAGGUGACCUACCCCGAAGUGGGGAAUAACUGCCCGAAAGGGUGGCUAAUACCGCAUGUGGUCGCACGUUCAUUCGUGCGAGUAAAGCCGCAAGGCGCUUCGGGAGGGGCCUGCGUCCGAUUAGCUCGUUGGUUGGGUAAUGGCUUACCAAGGCGAGGAUCGGGAGGUGGGCUGAGAGGACGAUCACCCAGACUGGGACUGAGACACGGCCGAGACUCCUACGGGAGGCAGCAGCCGGGAAUGUUGCUCAAGGGGGGAAACCCUGAAGCAGCAACGCCGCGUGAGGGAUGAAGGCCUUCGGGUUGUAAACCUCUUUUGUCAGGGACGAUGAUGACGGUACCUGGCGAAUAAGCCACGGCUAACUACGUG